This 425-nucleotide ribosomal RNA is filed under the name uncultured bacterium. RNAcentral describes it as "bacterial SSU rRNA". It matches the Rfam family "Bacterial small subunit ribosomal RNA", at positions 608 to 1029 of the family's 1533-position model. The record is from RNAcentral.
CUUAACCGACAGACUGCGUUUGAAACUGGUUAUCUUGAGUGUAACAGAGGAGAGUGGAAUUCCUAGUGUAGUGGUGAAAUACGUAGAUAUUAGGAAGAACACCAGUGGCGAAGGCGACUCUCUGGGUUAACACUGACGCUGAGGUACGAAAGCUGGGGGAGCGAACGGGAUUAGAUACCCCGGUAGUCCCAGCCGUAAACGAUGGAUACUAGGUGUUGGAGGUUCGAAUCCUUCAGUGCCGGAGUUAACGCAUUAAGUAUCCCGCCUGGGGAUUACGAUCGCAAGAUUGAAACUCAAAGGAAUUGACGGGGGCCCGCACAAGCGGUGGAGCAUGUGGUUUAAUUCGAAGCAACGCGAAGAACCUUACCGAGAAUUGACAUCCCGUGACCAUCUAUGAGAGUAGAGUUUGACACUUUGUGUCACAC